AGAGUUUGAUCAUGGCUCAGGAUGAACGCUAGCUACAGGCUUAACACAUGCAAGUCGAGGGGCGAGCAUGUUGGUUGCUUGCAACCAACGAUGGCGACCGGCGCACGGGUGAGUAACGCGUAUCCAACCUACCCUUGUCCAUCGGAUAACCCGUCGAAAGGCGGCCUAACACGAUAUGCGGUUCACAGCAGGCAUCUAACGUGAACGAAAUGUAAAGGAGAAGGAUGGGGAUGCGUCUGAUUAGCUUGUUGGCGGGGUAACGCCACAAGGCUACGAUCAGUAGGGGUUCUGAGAGGAAGGUCCCCCANAUUGGAACUGAGACACGGUCCAAAACUCCGUACGGGAGCA
Molecule: ribosomal RNA, 348 nt
Filed under: uncultured bacterium
Lineage: Bacteria
Description: bacterial SSU rRNA
Rfam family: Bacterial small subunit ribosomal RNA
Source: RNAcentral